This 71-nucleotide transfer RNA is filed under the name Marmota marmota marmota (Alpine marmot). It matches the Rfam family "tRNA". Rfam says of the family: Transfer RNA (tRNA) molecules are approximately 80 nucleotides in length. Their secondary structure includes four short double-helical elements and three loops (D, anti-codon, and T loops). Lineage: Eukaryota; Metazoa; Chordata; Mammalia; Rodentia; Sciuridae. RNAcentral also lists the same sequence under 1 other name. The record is from Rfam by way of RNAcentral.
GGGGUUGUGGCUCAGUGGUAGAGUGCUUGCCUCAGAUGUGUGAGGCACUGGGUUUGAUUCUCAGCACCUUA